UUUAAUAUAAUAUUGAAAGUGAUUAGUAUGAAUUUAAUUUUGGUCAAUUAACCAAUACAGUGUCGAUAUGCAGACGUGAGGUGUGACGCCCCCAAAAUUAGGUAUACAUCACUCAUUUUGGAUCGUCAGAUACAUGGUACAAAAUUCAAAUACAACUGUCGUGUACAAUACGACAAAACAUAACUGUGAGUUUGAAUACAAUUAUUGGCUACUAGAGAUUAUACAAACUCAAAAGGAGUCCUCAUUACAAUUAUUAACACACUAUUUCACAGAAUA
RNAcentral lists this long non-coding RNA (276 nucleotides) under Panax ginseng (ginseng). Its description in RNAcentral is "long non-coding RNA (PGIN_LNC005397)". Lineage: Eukaryota; Viridiplantae; Streptophyta; Magnoliopsida; Apiales; Araliaceae. The record is from RNAcentral.